Molecule: long non-coding RNA, 383 nt
Organism: Galleria mellonella (greater wax moth)
Lineage: Eukaryota; Metazoa; Arthropoda; Insecta; Lepidoptera; Pyralidae
Exons: 4
Source: RefSeq, a predicted model, not a curated record
CUUGUGUCGACAUUGCAAGAUAUAUCAGUGUAUAUAUUUUGCUAAAUUAUAAGUGAUUUUGUUAUCGGCGACGCGGCGCGCGGCACCCCCCAGCGACAUCCGACGCCGCGCGCCAUUACCGCGCCCCGCCGCCGCCAUCGCGCCCCCGCCCCCGCGCGCCCCGCCGCCCCCCGCCGCCACACUCAUUAGCCCGAUGGCGCGAGACCGGCUGCACCCGGUGCCGCGACUUGAAUUUUUAGACGACAUGAAGUUUUUUCUUGCUGUCAUAAAUGCAGUGAAGCCCCAGCUUUACAUCCCACGCAAAUUUGUUUUCAAGUUCUGUAUGAAAACCCCAAAUAACAGGAAGAGGAAAAUAUGUUUUAAUGAGUAUCGAGAGCCGAGUG